GGUUCCGUGGCUCAAUUGGAUAGAGCAUGGGUUUUCUAAACCCGGGGUUACAGGUUCGAGUUCUGUCGGAAUCACAA
RNAcentral lists this transfer RNA (77 nucleotides) under Chryseobacterium glaciei. RNAcentral describes it as "tRNA-Arg". It matches the Rfam family "tRNA". Rfam says of the family: Transfer RNA (tRNA) molecules are approximately 80 nucleotides in length. Their secondary structure includes four short double-helical elements and three loops (D, anti-codon, and T loops). Lineage: Bacteria; Pseudomonadati; Bacteroidota; Flavobacteriia; Flavobacteriales; Weeksellaceae. The record is from RNAcentral.